This 209-nucleotide long non-coding RNA is filed under the name Mytilus galloprovincialis (Mediterranean mussel). Lineage: Eukaryota; Metazoa; Mollusca; Bivalvia; Mytilida; Mytilidae. The record is from RNAcentral.
UUUUUAUACGCCCGUCAAAAUUUUGACGGGACGUAUUAUGGUAUACAAAUGUCCGGUGUCCGUCCGUCUGUCCGGCGUAAACAUGUCGCACCGUAACUUGAGAACGACUUAUCCAAAUUUCAUGAAACUUUAUGUAGUUGUUUCUUAUGAUGGUCAAAUGAUCUGUAUACUUUUUGGUGAAAAUAAGAUUUAAACUUUUUAAGUUACGG